Molecule: long non-coding RNA, 775 nt
Organism: Bradysia coprophila
Lineage: Eukaryota; Metazoa; Arthropoda; Insecta; Diptera; Sciaridae
Source: RefSeq, a predicted model, not a curated record
AGAUGGAAACGAUUUCGUUUAUCUACCCUGUCUGUAUAAAUACGAAAAAUAUUUCAACGCACAAGUAGUUUGCCAAACAUACCACUCUAAGAAGUAUUAAAAUAACAAGAGAAAAAAUACAAAUAAUUUGAAUAAAUUCUAAGAUUCCGAAGGACAUCUUAGAGAUAAAAGUAUUGUUUGCGAAUUUUUUGCUAAUUAAUUCAAAUUUUUCAAUCGCAAGUUAAACUCGACAAUGAUGAUGAUGAGUGUUAAGUACAUAAAUUUGAUUUGCAUUGCGUUGAUUUGUGUGCAAAGUUACGGUGGUUUUGUGGUCUGUGGACGUUAUUUACCAACCCGAGGAAAUGCCGAUAACCUUGAUCGACUGCGUGAAUUGUUAAGAGAUAUUCUCGAAACUGAUGUUGAAAAAGUAUCUGUGGAAACACCGCCUCAAUCAGUCGCACUGAAUCGAUACGAGGGCCUGAAUGCGUUGAACGAUGACUUCAAUUUUGGAAUACCGAAACACACACAACAUAAAAAUGCUCGGCUAGUCUUCAAGCGUAGCAUCCACAACAACUUGCUGAAGAAUAAGCGAAAUUUCUGAUUUCUACAUCGAUUUUCUACGUGAAGUCGUCAAUUUACAUCACAUAUUAAAUAAAUAAAUUUGAUCGCGCUUCUAAAAAAGUAUGAAUAAAUAUUGUGAUCGACAUAAUUGCAUUCAAAUGAAUUAAAAGUGAUAAUCCCAUUGGCUGGAUGGGAGCCUUUUACAUAUUAUGGAAAGAGAUAAUUAUUUAUCGUU